RNAcentral lists this ribosomal RNA (534 nucleotides) under Hemitrichia serpula. RNAcentral describes it as "SSU rRNA". It matches the Rfam family "Eukaryotic small subunit ribosomal RNA", at positions 24 to 553 of the family's 1831-position model. The record is from RNAcentral. Lineage: Eukaryota; Evosea; Eumycetozoa; Trichiida; Trichiidae.
UCAUAUGCUUGUCCCGAAGCUUAAGCCAUGCAUGUCUGAGAGUAACACGGUUUAAUAUUGGAAUCUGCGAACGGCUCCGUAUAUCUGUUGUAACCUACCCCCUCUAAGGGCCGCGGCGUCGGUAUAACCGCGGUAAUUCUGGGGCUAAUACAUGUAACAGUCUAGCUGUCGUGGGCCGCUCCCUGGAGCGCGCCCGGGCCUUGCCGGCUGACCACUGGGGGGCUUGCCCCCUGGCGUGAUGCGGGCAAGUACGCCUUACUGUAGCCACGCUACGGAGAGCGGGGUGGGCUUCAGACCUAUCAACUAGGCGGCCGGGGAUGGUCCGGUCGCGGUCACAACGGGUACAGAGGAUCAGGGUUCGGUCCUGGAGAGGUAGCCUGAGAAAUCGCUACUACUUCUAAGGAAGGCAGCAGGCGCGCAACGUUCCCCAUGGGGACACCCUGAGGACGUGAAGGGACAUACCAAUGCCCGGCCCAGAAAGCCGGGCAAUUGGAAUGGGGGACCUUUAAACCCCGCACCGAGUAACAAUUGGAG